This 532-nucleotide ribosomal RNA is filed under the name uncultured bacterium. RNAcentral's name for it is "bacterial SSU rRNA". It matches the Rfam family "Bacterial small subunit ribosomal RNA", at positions 8 to 526 of the family's 1533-position model. The record is from RNAcentral.
AGAGUUUGAUCCUGGCUCAGGACGAACGCUGGCGGCGCGCUUAACACAUGCAAGUCGAGCGAGAACCAGUCCUUCGGGACUGGGGAAAGCGGCGAACGGGUGAGUAACACGUGGGUAAUCUGCCCUCGGCACUGGGAUAGCCCGGGGAAACCCGGAUUAAUACCGGAUAGCCUUUCGAGCCUUCGGGCUCGUCAGAAAAGGUGGCUUCGGCUUCCGGCUGAGGAUGAGCCCGCGGCGGAUUAGCUUGUUGGUGUGGGUAAUGGCCCACCAAGGCGACGAUCCGUAGCUGGUCUGAGAGGACGAUCAGCCACACUGGGACUGAGACACGGCCCAGACUCCUACGGGAGGCAGCAGUGGGGAAUCUUGCGCAAUGAGCGAAAGCUUGACGCAGCGACGCCGCGUGCGGGAAGAAGGCCUUCGGGUUGUAAACCGCUUUCAGGAGGGACGAAGCCACUCGGGUUAAUAGCCCAGAGGGUGACGGUACCUCCAGAAGAAGCCCCGGCUAACUACGUGCCAGCAGCGGCGGUAAUUC